This 248-nucleotide ribosomal RNA is filed under the name uncultured bacterium. RNAcentral describes it as "partial 16S ribosomal RNA". It matches the Rfam family "Bacterial small subunit ribosomal RNA", at positions 791 to 1035 of the family's 1533-position model. The record is from RNAcentral.
UAGUCCACGCCGUAAACGAUGAGUGUUAGAUGUCCGAGGUGAACUUGGGUGUCCCAAGCAAACGCGAUAAACACUCCGCCUGGGGAGUACGUACGCAAGUAUGAAACUCAAAGGAAUUGACGGGGACCCGCACAAGCAGCGGAGCAUGUGGUUUAAUUCGACGCAACGCGAAGAACCUUACCAAGUCUUGACAUAACUUUGAAGAGCUUUAGAGAUAAGGCUUGUUUGACUUCGGUCAACAAAGCUAC